This 2170-nucleotide long non-coding RNA is filed under the name Theobroma cacao (cacao). RNAcentral describes it as "long non-coding RNA (TCAC_LNC006438)". The record is from RNAcentral. Lineage: Eukaryota; Viridiplantae; Streptophyta; Magnoliopsida; Malvales; Malvaceae.
GGUUGUCACGGGCUCGAUGGGAGUUCCGGGUCGUGACACUCUCGAAGGUAAAAUACACAAGUUUAAAAGUUUCACAAGUUUCCAAUCAAAGUAAGCUCAAAACAAACUUGUUUUUCUACAAAAAUGUGUCAAAAGUAAUUUGAAGAGUAAAUUAAAGAGUAGGCAAGUUGAGAACAAAUUUCAAAACUCUUCAAAGUAAAUAAAAUGCACAAGUGUAUCAAAGUUUGUCAAAAAUAAUUUGAAUAGUAACUUAAAGGAUUGACAAUUUAAAAGAAAUUUAAUAAAUUUUUAAUGUAAAUGCAUAAAUUCAAGAAUUGAAAAAUAAAGAGAAAAGACACGAAGAAUUUUUAAAGGUUCGACCCUCUUUAUAAGUGCCUAUGUCCUCUCCCUUAGCAAGCUAAGGAGUUUCAAAUCCAUUAUGAAAAAUACUUUUUCAAGACUCAAGCAUAAUGUGAGACCCAGUACCCUCGUAUAGAAGUCAAUAUGACCUUAUCAAUGAGACAAAAGGUCAAUGGAUUCUGAUUUAAGUGCCAAAGGAUGAAAACGGGUGAAAAGAGUAUUUUAAGAUAAAAUAUUUUGCACAUGAAGAGAUAAUAAUAAAAUAAUAAUAUUUUUAUCGAGAAAAAAUUUAUGAGAUAAAAGGUGAUUCGAAUGUGAGUAGGGGCAAAGUAAGAUGUUUGGAGCCCUGGAAGGCUAGUGGAAUGUGAAACCUCAACCUCCAUAGAGACGUAACUAAAGUAGAUGCGAUAACACGGACUAGGGGUAAUUUCAUCAUUUCUCAUGGUAAGCUCCUAGAAGUAGCUUUAUAAUGUUAUUAAGUUCUAAGUAGGCCUAAGGAAUAGAUGAAUGAUGGUAAAAUGAAUGAAGAAGAUAGAAAUACUGAUAAUUUUUAUAGUAAGGGCAAAAUGGUUAUUUUUCAUCUCGAGUUUAAAUUUCUACGUUUUCGUGAACUCCAGUAUUUCUAGACUAUUAUGGACUUUGUCUUAGUGUCAAAGAAGUAAAAAGAUUGUACAAAGGUAAGGGAAAGACAAAGUGACCUUGGUAAGGCAUAUUGGUAAUUUUAUGAGAAAUUGGAUAAACAUUAGGCAUAACUAUCUAAGUUUCUAGCAACUUCUUCUAAUUUCCAUCAACUUUUUCUUCUUCUUCUUCCCUUCUCACGUUUUCUCACCUUCCAUGGAAGCUUGCUUUGAAACCUCCAUAAAUUUUCUCAAGUUAACCUCAAUUUUCAUGCUUUUACGCACUUUUUUGCAAAGUCCUUUGUACUCUUUUACUCUUUCACCUUAAAACCCUCAAAAGCCUUUCCUUAAUACUUUCUUUCACUAGCUGGACAUUCUAGAGAGAGAAAGAAAGAUUUUUCACAAUAGUUUGAAAGCUUUUGAAAAGAAAUUCAAUUACAAAGCUACGAAGGUGAGUAAUGAAAUUGAGUUGAUUUUUAAUUUGUUGAGAAUGGCUAGUGGUUAGAUUUAUGAGUGUUUUGUAGUUAAGGUUGGUUAUUCAUUUUAGUGUGACUAGAAUAGUGAAAAUAGAUAGCCACUUAAUGGUAGUUGAAAGCUAGCUAGGAAUAACUAGUAGAACAUGAUUUAGGAGAUAGCUUUUAGAAUUAUGGUUAUGUGAAUUGAGUUGAUUUGUGAUGCUAUUAUGUGCGAUAGGUUCCAACGAGACCCCACAUCUUCAUUCGGACCAUUAGUGGGAGUUGGAGUCGAUUUAAGAGUCAACGAGGACCAGUGAGUGAACUUGAAUUAAAAUAUUUUGGAAUAAGUGAUUUAUAUGCUUGAUUGAGCUACUUGAAAUAUUGGUUGGUUUUUCUUUAAAAGUUGCACAGGAACAAGCCUUUGAUGAAAUAUUUUUAUGUUGUGAAAUAUGAUUGUGAUGAAUUCAUUUGUUCCCACAUUAUGUUAAUAUGUAUGUUAUGCAUUGAAUGAUACCUAUUGUGUGAUAAUUAUGACCCAGCUAUGUGUGGUGUAGGAGUGCACAUGAGUUGAUGAUGACCCAACCAUGUGCGGUGUAGGAGUGCACAUGAGCUGAUGAUGACCCAGUUGAAGGAGAGUUGGGGUGAGGUCGGUGGUCAUACGUAUGUUUAUAUAUAUUAUAUAUAUAUAGAGGUUAUGGAAAUUAUAUUGUGGUUGCAUUGAUUAUUGAAUGUGAAAACUUGAGAAAUGCUUUCCAAUUG